Molecule: ribosomal RNA, 4995 nt
Filed under: Triticum aestivum (bread wheat)
Lineage: Eukaryota; Viridiplantae; Streptophyta; Magnoliopsida; Poales; Poaceae
Description: partial small subunit ribosomal RNA
Source: RNAcentral
AUGAGGGCGGGGUCGCGGCGCUGUCAGGAGAGAGGGGACUCGAGGUCGAGGAGAUCAGGGAAGGAUGGCCAGCACCAUGGGCACUUCUUCCUAUUUGGCUGGUCAGGCCAGCAGCGACGGCCGGGAACCAGGUCAGGCAGCCAACGGGAGCAGCCGAGCACGGUGGCAGGAGAGUGGAGGAACCGGGGGAAGGAGUCGCCGCCGCCGAGAUCUAUGUCGAGAACAAUCUCUCUCCUCUGUCUCCCUCACCCAGCUCAGUUCCGCCUGAUUCCUGCUGCUGCUCGCUGCAAGCCUUGGCUACCCAUGUUAGGCGAUCUGGAGGCGAUAGCCUCGCCGUCGCCACCGCCGGCCGCCGCGCCCGCUGUGUGCGGCCUCCCUUCCACGUCGAAGCCCAGGCUGGCCGUCGGAACAGCAGCGGCGAUGUCCGCAGACCGAUCGCUUGGCCCCUCGGUGCCUAGCGUUCCAGCCACCUCUUCGCUAGGGUUUCUCGCCCUUGGCGAUCUGGAGGUGACCGCCCCGCAGCCACCACCGCCGGCCAUCCCGCCGGCUGUGUGUGGCCUUUCCUCCGCGUCUCAGUCUAGGCUGGGCGUCGAAACAGCCGCGGCUGAGUCCUACGAGGGGUGGAGUCCUGCUGAAUCACGGCACGAGGAGGAUCAUGGACGCCCUAACCCCAGCCGCAAGGAAAGGAAUUCUUCUUCUUCCUACAAAAACUCAUCUAGGGCUACGGAGCGACUACACAAGGAACCACGCAAGCCGCCUGAUCGCAAACCCCACGCGUCUACGCCGCCGCAGUCUGCUGGGAUGUCGUCGUCGUCGUCUGCACACGAGGCCGGCAAGGAGUCGCUGGUGGCCGAGGUGAACCCGGAGGUCGGUGGGGGCGCACAUAGGGCUCCCUCCGUGGAUGCUGCUCGCCCGAAGCCUUCCGACGGUCGAUCCACGGCUGCUGGGCACCUCAAUCCGUGGCUGCAAACACUGGCGUUUGGGAACCAGAUAAAGACGGCGGGUGCGGCGGAGGAGUAUGUUGCUGAUCAUGCAACGGGCAACCCAGCUGUUGAUAAGUUGUUGGCUGAACUAAGGAAGUCCAAGUCAGGUUGCAACAAGGGUAUGGUUGAGGAACAACAUGCAGCUACAGCAGCCAACAUAUAUGCACGUACACCCAAAAAAAGAAGAACGGAGGGCGGACAAGACAUACAUGAUGUGGAUGGAGGGGCGUCCAUGAGCCAGGAGACGCAGAUGGAGGCGGGCACUAUGGAGGCAACCGACCCAGGGGCUGUCGAUAUUAAUGAAAGAUAUAUUGAUGCAUAUGUGACUGCGUCGGCGGGUGAGCCACCCUGGAGGCUGACCUGCGUCUACGACGAGCCACGGACGGAGGACCGUCAACACAUGUGGUCCCUCCUCCGUGAUCUUCACCAGCAAGCUGACAUGCCUUGGGUCGUGGCUGGUGACUUUAACGAGGCCAUGUGGAGCUUCGAGCAUUUCUCCGAAACGCCACGCUCGGCAGGUCAGAUGAUUUAUUUUCGUGAUGUUCUUGAGGUUUGUGGUUUGGGUGAUCUCGGUUUUGCAGGCCUGCCUUACACUUAUGAUAACCGUCGUGCGGGUCGGGCAAAUGUUAAAGUUCGACUUGAUCGUGCCGUGGCUAACAACACUUGGCGUGACAUGUUCUCUGAGGCCAAGGUGCGGCACCUUGCGGCGCCGAGUUCAGACCACUUUGCCAUCCUGCUACGAUGCGUUCUGGAGGAGCCCGUGCAGCAGUCUGGCAGGCGCUGCCGGCAAUAUGAGGUGAUGUGGGAGAGGGAUCCGUCCCUCCCUGAGCCGACUGGGCGCCCGAUCACGCAGCAAGGAACAUGCAGGCUUCGACGAGUGGCAGAGCUCCUGGAUGCGUCUGGUGCUUGGCGGCUAGACCUCCUACAACGCCACUUCCUACCGGCGGAUGUGCAUACCAUCACCAACAUCCGCACGUCGACCCGCAUCACCGACGACAUGAUCGCCUGGAGCCCAGAGAAGAAUGGUAUCUUUACCGUUCGCUCCGCCUACCGCCUUGCCAUGGACGAGCGCGAACGUUCAUCGGCGACGGCCACGAGCAGGGCACCGGAUGGUCAUCGCGCCAUCUGUAAGAUCAUAUGGGGGUGCCCUGCUCCCCCUAAGGUACGCGUGUUUGCUUGGAGAGUUGUGUCCAACUCGCUUGCUACUUGGGCCAACAAAUUUUCUCGCCAUCUCGAGCUUACUGACAUAUGCCCCCUAUGUGGUAUGGAACGUGAGGACGGGCUCCAUGCGUACUGCAGGUGCCCAUUGGCUCGCGAACUGUGGCAUAUGCCAUGGCCUUGGAUUGGCCAAUCCCGGAGAACUUGGUAUGUGCGGAAUGAGAUCACACAUGAUAAGGCGCCGCCCCCGACAGAAGCAUCUCGCCGUUUCCUCCAUGGGUACAUCACCUCUCUGCUUUGUAUCCAUCAACACCCUCAUGGCGACUUGGAGAAAGGGAAAAUGGUGGUGCAUGAUAGCCUCCCGGUUAUACACACAAAGGAAAUGCCCAAGCCGGAGUUGCACUGGACCCCUCCUCCACCGGGGUGGGCUAAGCUCAAUACAGAUGGCAGCCAUGUUCCUCCAACCGGAGAGGCAGGGGGUGGUAUGAUUCUUCGUGAUGAUAGAGGCAACAUCAUCUAUACUGCUUGUAGACAGCUCCUUACAUGCGAUAAUGGCCUUGAGGCAGAGCUGGCUGCGUGCAGAGAGGGCCUGGAGCUUGCGCUUUACCGUACAAACCUGCCCAUUAUGGUUGAGCUCGACUGUGCAGAAGCGGUGUCUAUGCUGCUAGCACGUACUGGAGAUAGAUCGCAAUACCGUGUGCUCAUUGAGGAGAUUCGAAGACUAGCACAAGAUGCUCGUAGGGAGAUUUCUUUUACUUUUAUUAGUCGCUCGCAGAAUAAGGUGAGCGUGCUCAAAAUCCCCCUCGACCCCGGCUGCAUCGGCGACUCCGCGACCCCACCGCCGGCCUCCGCCCUCUUCGCACCGGCGACCUCCCCUCCUCUCCCUUCCCUUCCCUUCCCUUCCCCCAUAUCGAGAAGGGAGGCCAUGGUGCUCCCGACACGGUUGGAUCCAGACCAAGCCCGUGGGGUUCCAGCUCGACCUCCUCGCAGCGACCACGGCGGCGGGAUCCGCGGAUCCAUGGCCACGGCGGUGCGAGCGCGCAGACGCAGCCUUGAGAAGGGAGGAGGCAGGGCGGCCAUGGCGUUCCCGCCGCAGCCGGGUCACUGGCUCCACCUCCACCACGAGCUCCUCGCAGUUGGACUUGAUUCAUGUUGGUUGCUGAAUUCAUUGUUGAUUGUUGAUUGUCGAGAGAAAAUCCAGGGCGCCACCGCCGCCGAUCUACGCGGCGGCCGAUCUACUUCUCCGGCCAUCUGCCGCCGCCGGCCGGAUUCCUCCUGCUCAUGUGCCUCUGAUUUGGAUCGAAGUCACGGCGGUAGUGGUGCGGUGGCAGCGGGGGAGGAGGCGAGGGUGGCGGCGAUGGGGGUGAGGCCUGAAGAUGAGGUUGUCCUUUUGGAGACCGGCGUGUGUUCCGGCAACGGGUGGAGGGGCAGCCGCGCGGUGGUGGGGAGCAGCUGGUCCGUGUCCAUGGCCGGACUACCGGGGUUGGGGGUUUCUUCCCGUAUUGUUGAUGAAUAUACUUGGGGAUUCGUGAUUCUUGUGUCCCUUGACUCGGUGCGAGAUUCAUUGGGAUUUGGGCCGAGGAAGAUGGGGGUGCGAUUCGGGGGGAUCAUGCCUCGGAUUCUUGGGGUCGCCGGGGAUGCGGUGAUUGAAGGAGAAGACGGUGGAGGGAGAGAGGGAGGGAGGAAGAGGGGAGGCUUCGGAUUUCAAAAAGAGACUUGGCUCGUUUGGAACUUGUCAAAUCUUGGUCUGAAGGGAAUGUUAUCUCCUGACAUUGGGCAGCUUACUAAUAUGCGUUUUCUUGUACUGCACAGGAACUUGUUCUAUGGUAUUAUCCCUAGAGAGAUGGGAGAUUUACGAGAGCUGAAGGUGUUGGAUCUGGGGUACAAUAACUUCAAUGGAUCAAUUCCAUCAGAGCUAAUAAACAUGUUAUCCCUGGAAUUUAUGUUCGCCACGGCAGGACUUUCUCAAAUAGGAUGCCCGCUGCAAGGUUGUGGAAAAACGGAUGUAGCAUUCCUUCUACAAGUUGUGAUGAGCUGGGACACAGAAGAAGAGAGCCGACAAGAAGUUGCACAGCGGUUCGCUCUGGUGUCGCUGCCAAUGGCGUUGCGCAAACAUUCCCCGCUGUUUCUUACAAUCAGAGAAAAACGAAAGGAGAUUUCACUCUACAAUGGAUGUCUUUCUCCCAGGAUCCAAGUCUACGUCCACCAGGUACGGUGCCGUGAGCAAACACCCAAGAGGAGGUUUGAGAAAGAGCUCGCGGGGUUAAUACGCCGACGUGGUCGACCGACGGACGACGUGGACGCUCCGACAAGGUCGAGCGAGUGGCUAAGCUUAGCCGUGCAGAACGUUUCGAAGGCCAUGGACGGCAAAGGCAAUAAUAAGUGGCAAUACAAAUGGACGUGUGUUGAAAUAGAGGGGAAAAUUGAUAAAAGAAAUACUACAAAUAGAAAAAAUCAAAGAGAAGAAGGAAAGAGGGGAACAAACUUGAAACAAAAGGCUCAGAAGAAACAAUCAAACUCCCGUACGAAGGAGUGGGCUUUCCCGAACGAAACAGCCGGCCCACUUGGGACUCGUAGUGGGCGGCAGAUCAUCCAAUCGGCGCUGAAGGCGCCGAUUAGGAGCCCCCCCCACCCCGAGUCAGCUAUGUAUUUUUGCUUCGUAGGAGGAACGGAAAGCAAUUUGAGUGUCGGGCCGAGACAUUACUUGAGACGAAAGGAGAGACAACUGGACCGCCCCACUGAGGCCCAUAUAGCGAUAAUGGGUGUACAUUACACCCAUGUCCUCGUCCAGCCCCGCCCAUGGAGGCGGUUUGCUUCCGCUUCCUCAGUCUACAUGGCCGUUGGUUGGUUCUAG